RNAcentral lists this long non-coding RNA (221 nucleotides) under Urocitellus parryii (Arctic ground squirrel). Its description in RNAcentral is "lncRNA (ENSUPAG00010002316.1)". The record is from RNAcentral. Lineage: Eukaryota; Metazoa; Chordata; Mammalia; Rodentia; Sciuridae.
CUUUAAGAAGGAAGGAUGUUUCUUCAUCGUCUCUGGGGAUGAAUUCACUCUGCAUCCAUAGAAAUGGGAAAUCUAUGUGCGGUCUGGUUCUGGAAGGAAGAAAAAUGGGCUGUGUUGAUCACUCGACCGAGGACCAUUUCUAAAAGCAUGCUGAAGGUAAUUUUCAUUACAUUAGUCAGAAUAAGAGAAGCUGUGCUAUGAUAACAAAUUAAUUUUYAAGU